GUGGCCCUCAAGUCAGG
RNAcentral lists this ribosomal RNA (17 nucleotides) under Renealmia monosperma. RNAcentral's name for it is "partial 26S ribosomal RNA". Lineage: Eukaryota; Viridiplantae; Streptophyta; Magnoliopsida; Zingiberales; Zingiberaceae. The record is from RNAcentral.